CUCAGAACAGGAUCUAUAUGCAGGAGGCAGCAAACACGAGCAUUUUUUUUAAAUGUUUAUUUUUUGAGAGAGACACACAGAUCUGAAGAGUACACGUCUCAAC
Lynx canadensis (Canada lynx) is the source of this 103-nucleotide long non-coding RNA. RefSeq lists it as uncharacterized. The transcript has 3 exons. The record is from RefSeq and is a predicted model, not a curated record. NCBI's taxonomy places the organism in Eukaryota, Metazoa, Chordata, Mammalia, Carnivora, Felidae.